GGGCUAGUCAGAAAGGGCUCUAGGUGUCUUUUAGUUGACGCGGCCGCGCAGGGCUAGGGUCUUAGGGGUGCCACUGCGCCUAGGUGGGGGUUGGGUGGAGGUCGGGGGCCGAGGCCGCUGCGGGGAGAGCGGCUGCUGGGACGGCCGGGCUGCGCGGAGAGCGCCGGCGGCGGGGUCGGGGCCGCGCGGAGAGCGCCUGCGGCGGGGUCGGGGCCGCGCGGAGGGCCGCGGCCCGGGGUAGGGGUCGCGUGGAGAAAGGUAAGGGUUUAGCGGAGGGCGGCGGCGGGAGCUAGGGGUGGUGUGGGGGUGGCGGCGUGUAGGCGGCCGGUGAUGUAUGGGACCGAGCCGACGUGUGCUGGCCCUAGGGGGUAGAGGGUCGAUUGGAACGUCGACGUGUGGAGGAGCGAGCAGGAUUCCACGGCCAGCAAGCUAGGUGAGGUGACCACACGUGCGGAGCUGUGUCGGCCGCUCUCGGUGAUGAGGAACGCGACGAGAAAAGAGGUUCAAGCACAUCGAGACUAAAGAAGCACAAGAUAACGUCCAACCCGCAAUACACUUGACGCCUGCCUAGUCACCAACCUGGUCGUCGUCAAAUGACAUGGUUGCGCCAACUAGGGUGGACCGUGUGCAAGCGGAGACAGCUGCCGCCAGUCGUGGAUCGAAGACAACGAAGGUGCCGUUGACGAGUACGCGUGGAGCUUGCGUAUUGCUCAACAGGGGACCAAGAAGAAGACGAGUACCUCAACCUCGCACGACGUUGAAGGAAAGUAAAGACUUUGAGUAUAGGGAGGUUAAAUCAGGUGCAUAAUAAGAACAUCCAUCUAAACUUGUUAGAUUUUGACCUUUUUCUUACGCAGUCAUAUCGAUGAGUAAUCUUUUACCAGUUCACAUACAACGAAAACACCAAAAACACACACGAGCAUAAACGUAUUAAAUGGAGUUUACUUUUAAGUCAAUGAACACAUGGAUACAGCUGUUGUACUGUUUAAAAGAGUGGUGGUAGAUCAAAACGAUUUUACUCAAACAAACAGAAUGGAAUAUAUAUACACUUCUUUUAACUGCCGUCGUUUAAAGAGGACUUUUAUUCAAGUUUAUUUUUGUACCCUCUUCCAGUGUAUACACAUGGUCCUUUUACAAACGCGUUUUUACGUCUUCUGAAAUGAUAGGUACUCAAACACAUGUACGAGGAAAAAACACCGACGACGUCCGACGUUCUGGACAGCAGCAGUAGGGGUGAAUCGGGUACAGUACUUCGAAGCGAGGGGAUGAUGACGAUGUGCAUUCACGAGCAGACGUUAAACCGUGCUUCAACUUGUUGAAAUCGAUCUCAAGUCUAUUGACUUACCGUCUCCAACGAGAUCUUGAUGUCAUCAUAUGAAGUCUCAAGUCUCACGUCUAUUAGUUUACAAGUAUGUCAGUUUAGACAACCGGAGCACUAAUAUACUUCUAUAAGUCUUAGUCUUCAAGUUUUCUUCUCAAGGUAUUUUCAGUUUUAGUUCUUUCUCGUGAUACUUCAUAUUAAUGAUUAUUCUGAUCACACAGACCACGCACGAAGGCCUGGCACUACAUAGGACACACACACGAGCACGCAAACGUACACACAACACUCGAGUGUACACACGUGAGUCCAAAAAAAAAAGAAAACAACUCGUAAGCACACACGAGAACACACACACACACAACGUAUCCAGGAGGUCAUACACACACACCA
Molecule: ribosomal RNA, 1711 nt
Filed under: Triticum aestivum (bread wheat)
Lineage: Eukaryota; Viridiplantae; Streptophyta; Magnoliopsida; Poales; Poaceae
Description: partial small subunit ribosomal RNA
Source: RNAcentral